GCUAAUUGGAGUGCAUUGUGAGGAGAUGGUUUUCGAGCAAAAUUCAACGAUCAAGGAUAUCCUGUUCCAAAUUUUAACCGUCACAUGGAAUGUGCCUUGUUCAUGGUACGUGUUAUCCAACCUGGAGUGUGUCAUGUCCGUAUUGACUAUGACAUGCUAUGUUGCUGCGUUGGAAACCUAGUGUCAUUUACCCGAAACAGGAG
This 203-nucleotide long non-coding RNA is filed under the name Elaeis guineensis (African oil palm). RNAcentral describes it as "long non-coding RNA (EGUI_LNC021013)". The record is from RNAcentral. Lineage: Eukaryota; Viridiplantae; Streptophyta; Magnoliopsida; Arecales; Arecaceae.